Molecule: ribosomal RNA, 454 nt
Filed under: uncultured bacterium
Lineage: Bacteria
Description: partial 16S ribosomal RNA
Rfam family: Bacterial small subunit ribosomal RNA
Source: RNAcentral
GAUGAACGCUGGCAGAAUGCUUAACACAUGCAAGUCGACCUGAACUGCGGUUCGGGUGGCGGACGCGUGAGUGACGCGUAGGGAACUUACCUCACAGCUAGGGACAACAGUUUGAAACGAAUGCUAAUACCUGAUAUUAUAAUUAUAUGGCAUAGCAUAAUUAUGAAAGCUAUAUGCGCUGUGUGAGAGCUUUGGGUUCUAUUAGCUCGUCGGAGAGGUAACGGCUAACAAUGGUGAUGAUGGGUAGCCGGCCUGGGUGGGUGACCGGCAACAAGGGAAUGGGGAAAGGGCCCUUACUCCUAGGGGAGGAAGCGGUGGGAAAUAUUGACAAAGGGACCGAGAGUCUGAUACAGCAAUUCUGUGUGCAAGAUGAAGUUUUUCGGAAUGAAAAGUGCUUGCAGUUGAGAAGAAGAAAAUGACGGUACCAACAGAAGAAGCACCGGCUAACUACGUG